Molecule: ribosomal RNA, 1033 nt
Filed under: Triticum aestivum (bread wheat)
Lineage: Eukaryota; Viridiplantae; Streptophyta; Magnoliopsida; Poales; Poaceae
Description: partial small subunit ribosomal RNA
Source: RNAcentral
AUCCUGCUUUCAUUUCCUUUUGGUUGUCUCGUCGUCGCUGAGUUCUGAAACCCAAAGCCCCCCUCCCCUCCCUUCCCCCGGGCUUAACCACCUCGAGAAAGAGUAAAGCUAGAGAGAAAGCUACAUCCCACCGAAUCCAACAACCGACAAGGAGGAGGAGGGAGCGAGCGAGCGAGAGAGCUGACGAUGCAGCAGGCGAUGUCCUUGCCCCCGGGAGCGGUCGGCGCGGUGUCCUCGCCGGCCGGCAUCACCACCGAGCAGAUCCAAAAGUAUUUGGAUGAAAAUAAGCAACUUAUUUUGGCCAUCCUUGAAAAUCAGAACCUAGGAAAGUUGGCUGAAUGUGCUCAGUAUCAAGCUCAACUCCAAAAGAAUCUCUUGUAUCUAGCUGCUAUCGCGGAUGCCCAACCACCACAGAACCCUACAAGUCACCCUCAGCCUGGUAGUAUGCAAGGUGCAGGGCAUUACAUGUCACAAGUACCAAUGUUCCCUCCAAGAACGCCUUUAACCCCACAGCAGAUGCAAGAGCAGCAGCACCAGCAGCUUCAGCAGCAGCAAGCCCAGGCCCUUUCUUUCCCCGCCCAGGUGGUCAUGAGACCAGGCACCGUCAACGGCAUGCAGCAGCCUAUGCAAGCAGCCGGCGACCUCCAGCCAGCAGCAGCACCUGGAGGGAGCAAGCAGGACGCCGCAGUGGCUGGGGCCAGCUCGGAACCAUCUGGCACCAAGAGCCACAAGAACGCGGGAGCAGAGGAGGUGGGCGCUGAUGUAGCAGAACAAUCCUAAGCUGUUAGUGUUAGGCAAAAAUAACGCCAUGUAUGUAUACUAUAAGAAAGAAAGAAAGCCCGUCUGCUCGUAGAAGGCUCGUUUUAUCAUGAAGGCUCGUUUAGAACAAGCUUUUAGAUUGAUGAUGAUCAUGAUGGUGUGUUCUGUCCGGGAUUGUUAUCUCACUCUAAGUUGUUGUAGGCUUGUAGCAAUUGUGGAAUAACUCGCCAGCCCGUUGUCCAAGUCAGAUGGUUUACCUUUUGUUUACUCCGCU